This is a long non-coding RNA of Ictalurus punctatus (channel catfish), 736 nucleotides long. The record is from Ensembl. Lineage: Eukaryota; Metazoa; Chordata; Actinopteri; Siluriformes; Ictaluridae.
GUUGUAAAUGUUUUCUCCGUUGAGAAAGGUGUUGGGGGUUGUCAUAACCUACCACAUACUGCAUUAUAUUUAUCUUUUCAGGAUAGCAGACGUAACCUUGAAGAGCUCCAUGUGUCUGAUUCCAAGAAUAAUACAUGACAUUCCUCACACUGAAAGAUGGGACACAGCAGUGCUUCACGUUCCUGUCUUCACUGUUCCAUCACACCUGAUUCAGCUCAUGAUGCGCUCGAUAAUUACCGAAGUUUUGUCGUAUGUGUCAACGGGUAAAAUGAUUGACUCUGUAGCUUUCCCGGAAUAGAAACAGAAUCGCUUCUUGUGAAGAACCAAAAGCGGCCGAUCAUCAAGAUCAACAUACCGGCAUCCAGAGUAUCUUGUCCUUGUUUAGCCCUCUACAGAGAGAGCACGGGGGGAAGCGGGAGUGUGUGAGUGGUGGUCCUGACGCUGAAGGUUGCUAAUCCCUUCAAACAUGGCUCCACGGGCCAACCAUGACCGAGCAAGCAAGACCGUAAUUACACCAAGCAAUGUCAUUAAGUAGUACACAGUGAACAGCAGCCACGCCACAAAUUACAGUCACCAACCUUUCAACAUGCAGACAUGCUCAGAGGACUGGCUAGUCUUGUCAUGAUGUGUUUUUAUAUGCAUUUUAGUUGGAUUAAAAUGUGUCUUUGAGGAAGAGGAACAUCUGGUGACACUCAUCAUAAAUCCAGUUUUAUUAUCGUAUCGUUUCUAUACUAAC